ACCAGACUCCUACGGGAGGCAGCAGUGGGGAAUAUUGGGCAAUGGGCGCAAGCCUGACCCAGCAACGCCGCGUGAAGGAAGAAGGCCCUCGGGUUGUAAACUUCUUUUAACAGGGACGAAGAAAGUGACGGUACCUGUUGAAUAAGCCACGGCUAACUACGUGCCAGCAGCCGCGGUAAUACGUAGGUGGCAAGCGUUAUCCGGAUUUACUGGGUGUAAAGGGCGUGUAGGCGGGGACGCAAGUCAGAUGUGGAAACCAUGGGCUCAACCUGUGGCCUGCAUUUGAAACUGUGUUUCUUGAGUACUGGAGAGGCAGACGGAAUUCCUAGUGUAGCGGUGAAAUGCGUAGAUAUUAGGAGGAACACCAGUGGCGAAGGCGGUCUGCUGGACAGCAACUGACGCUGAGGCGCGAAAGCGUGGGGAGCAAACAGGAUUAGAUACCCGCGUAGCG
This 451-nucleotide ribosomal RNA is filed under the name uncultured bacterium. Its description in RNAcentral is "bacterial SSU rRNA". It matches the Rfam family "Bacterial small subunit ribosomal RNA", at positions 330 to 795 of the family's 1533-position model. The record is from RNAcentral.